This is an RNA transcript of Dioscorea cayenensis subsp. rotundata (Guinea yam), 3904 nucleotides long. It is a transcript of the gene named splicing regulatory glutamine/lysine-rich protein 1, with no coding region annotated. The transcript has 6 exons. The record is from RefSeq and is a predicted model, not a curated record. NCBI's taxonomy places the organism in Eukaryota, Viridiplantae, Streptophyta, Magnoliopsida, Dioscoreales, Dioscoreaceae.
ACUAGCGUGUUUCCAGUUAUACCCUCCAUCUUAUCAUUGUCAUCGUGGCCAUCCACCAAUCCGCAACUCCAAGUUCCCAGGUGCGUUCCCUUCCCUCAAAACCCUAAUCCCCUUCAAUCUCGAUCUCCGAUUAGGGUUUCAAUCCAUGGCCGAUCGCGGUGGAAGCGCGGCGGCGAAGCCUGUGUGGAUGAAGCAAGCCGAGGAGGCCAAGCUGAAGAGCGAGGCGGAGAAGGCGGCCGCUGCUAAGGCCGCGUUCGAGGCCACUUUCAAGGCUGUUGAUCCACCCAAGCAAUCUGCGGGAUCCGACGAUGAUGAUGAGGAGGAGGACCUCUCUUCUAAGCCCAUCGGCCCGCCCGAUCCCUCCAAGUCCCUAGCUGCCGGAGCUGGGAUCGCAGGUGGGACCGCCUGCGCCCCUGCCUCGUUUGUCCUCACGGCCAAGGACUCGGAUGGCCGCCGCGUUCCGUCGGGCGGUGCUCACGUUCAGGUGAAGAUCUCCCCUGGGGUCGGUGUCGGUGGGUCUGAUCAGGAAGGCAUGGUGAAGGACCAGGGUGAUGGGACUUACACCGUCACGUAUGCUGUCCCUAAGCGUGGUAACUACAUGGUUCAUAUUGAGCUUGACGGACGCCCUGUUAUGGGGAGCCCUUUUCCCGUCUUCUUCAGCGCUGGGCCUGCCGGAACCCUCCCCGUUGCCACCACAAUGAGCCAGUAUCCGAACAUGGUGAAUCAGACCAUGCCCAACAUGCCCAAUUAUGCCGGGGCUGUCUCGGGGGCGUUUCCUGGGCUUCUAGGGAUGAUUCCAGGCUCCCUACCAGGUGCUACAGGGGGUGUUGUGCUCCCGGGGAUAGGAGCAAACUUGGGGGAGGUUUGUAGGGAGUAUUUAAGUGGGAGAUGCGCCAAGAGUGAUUGCAAAUUUAACCAUCCACCGCAUAAUAUUCUUAUGAUGGCACUCACUGCGACCACCUCGAUGGGGACACUGAGUCAGGCGCCAAUGGCCCCAUCUGCAGCUGCAAUGGCUGCUGCGCAGGCCAUCAUGGCUGCCAAGGCACUUCAGGCACAUGCUGCUCAGAUGCAGGCUGAGGUCAAGGCAUCUGGGAAUGGUACUGAUUCACCUGACAAGGCUGGGAAAGAUGCAUUGAAGAGAACACUACAAGUGAGCAAUCUUAGCCCCCUGCUCACAGUAGAUCAGCUGAAACAGCUUUUUGCUUACUGUGGAACAGUUGUUGAUUGUACCAUUACGGAUUCUAAGCACUUCGCAUAUAUAGAGUUUUCAAAGCCUGAAGAAGCAACAACAGCUUUGGCUCUAAAUAACAUGGAUGUUGGUGGCCGUCCAUUGAAUGUUGAGAUGGCAAAGUCUCUUCCUUCAAAGUCGUCUUUGGCAAAUUCAUUAUCAGCCCAAUCAUCUAUACCUUUGAUGAUGCAGCAAGCAGUUGCGAUGCAACAGAUGAACUUUCAGCAGGCUUUGCUCAUGCAACAGACAAUUGCCUCUCAGCAGGCUGCAAACCGGGCAGCAACAAUGAAGUCUGCAACAGAGAUGGCUUCAGCCAGGGCUGCUGAAAUAAGCAAAAAGCUAAAAGCUGAUGGAUUGGGAAGUGAUGACAAGGAAGAAGAGAAAAAAAAGUCCAGAUCACCGUCUGUCCAUCGAAGAUCUAAAUCUAGGUCUAGGUCACCCAUCAAGUACCGUCGAAGCAGGCGAUCUCGGUCUUUCUCACCAAUCAAGUACUCGAGAGAUAAAAGGUCACGAUCACCAAUUAGGUCCCACCACUCAAGUCGUGGAUUGGAAAGGUCUCAAAGAGAUGUUAGCAGGAGUGGCCGGCGGGAAAGAGAUAGAUCUCGUGAUCAUUAUGCUUCUGGUUCAAGAAGACGUGUAAGCAGGAGUCCAAGUCCAUAUACAAGGAAAUCAUUCCGAACUGAGUCUAGAUCACCCAAGCGGCGGAGAGAAAGUUUAAGCCCCAGGACAAAGAGGUUAUCUAGAUCUCGAGCUGAUUCAAGGUCCCCAAGGCACCACAGAGGGCGCAGAUUUUCUCCUAGACAUAAGCAUGAGCCUAGUUCUCAUCGCAGCAGGCGCUCAAGAUCCAGGUCCACAGAAGGAAAGGAACGGUCUAAUCAGAAGGAUGAUGCAAAAAGGGAAAGCCCCAUAUCAAAAAGGUUAGCUCGAACUGGUUCAAGGUCACCAUUGCAUCAUAGAGGAAGCAGAUCAGGACCAGGAGACAGCCAUGAAAAAUCAUCCAAGCGCAGUAGGCACUCCAGGUCAAGAUCCGCAGAACGGAGGCAUCAUUCUGAUGACAAGGAAAAUGCUAAAAGAUCUGAAAAGAAGAAGAAGAAGAAGAAUAUAAGGGAAUCUGACAUAACUGACUUAACUAGCAAAAAAUUAAAGGAUUGUCAGGACCAUGGGGAAGAUCAGCCAGUGGAUUUAUCUGCUGGUAAUAACAAGAGGAGCUCCUCUGUCACAGAUGAUGGAACCUCAAAGAACAAGAAAGACAUCAAUAAAUAUGAAACAUCGAGAAAGGAAAAUAAAGAACAUGGAAUGAAUGAUCCAUCGGGAAAUUCAAGUCCUGAAGGUUUGGGAGUAGAACCAAAAUUGAAGAGUGCAAAUUUCGCAAGUAAUGAACCGCCACGCUUGGAUUAUAAUGUGUUGCCAGACACUGAUGCUAUGACUAAAGAUGAUAACAUAGAUUCAACUAAUGGGAUUCUGUCAGAAAUUGGGGUGUCUGUCAGUGCAGGAGGCCAAAAUGGGAAAGAUAUGUCCAAUCCGGAUGAUUUGAUCAAGAGCUAUUGACCAGGCUGCUAAAAAGGGCAGACACAAUGUUAUACUAAUUAACUCCGAUUUUGGGGUUAUACAAUUGAUGCAGGAAAGUUUAUUUAUGAAUUAGGUCUGCUUCUCAUCCACAGGUUUUGCAUGCAGGGGAUGGUUGAUGUUGGUGGUGUUGCAAAAAAAAGUCUGAAGAUGUGAGUGGAAUGUUCUAUUAUAAAUCUGAAUUUAUGUCAUGAACCUGAGUCCAAGAAAUGGAGGAUCAGAUUUGAAGAUCUUGUUGAAUCUCCACUUUAUUUCCAUCUGGAUUUGCUUGCUGUUUAACUGCAUGAAUUUUCUUGGGGAAGAUGAAGGUUUCUUUUCAUGAGGGUACUAUAGUGAAGGCCCCCCCCGAAAGUGGUCCUUUGUUGGUCAUCUUACCUUCAAAGGAGGCGGCGCCUGGGAAUAGGUUGUAUACUCGCAUUGCUGGUUGUUUAACAGCACGAAGAUUCACAUCAUUGGAUAAGACCUCUUAUGCUCUUUAUUCUUUGCUUUGCUCUUUACUUCUUUGCUGAUCAGAAGGUUUUCUAGUGAAGAUUGCUGGAGUACUAUAGGAGCAAGUGAUGCCCCCUUCCCUUAAUUGGACAGGAUAUCUAUAACUUGGGGAUCAACUAAGCUCUCAGAACGCUGCUUGGGCCUUAUUUUCUGAGAUUUUCUGGACCUCUUCCUAAUUGAAAUUUCAUGACAUCACUAUAUUAUGUAGAAUCUCAAGCUUUGCAUAUUUGGUAUCACUACCGCUAUUUAGUUGUCUGUAUCUUCUGGGCUUUGUAUUAGGCAAGAUGAUGGUGCUGCUGGCUCAUCAGACUGACUAUGGCUAAGUUCUGUAGAUUCAGAUCCUUGGAUAACUUCUGAUCAUCUUCAUGUCUGCUCGUUACAGGUAAUUCGGAAGUGUUGCCCUAAUUUAGUGAAAUCUUUGAGCCAAUUUGUGUUUUGUGAAAGCUGUCUUUAGGUUUUCAUCAUGAAAUUCCUCUCAUUCUGGUUACAUUUGUGAGCUAUAAGAAUUUUGGUGUCACUCGUUUGAGUUUUUAGUUUGCUCACCGAUUCACCUACCAGAAAAUAACAUCUUCUUGUUACCAUGCUCAUGAAAAUUUCAUCUUCAUGGGUUUUAUUUAUUUA